GACGAACGCUGGCGGCGUGCCUAAUACAUGCAAGUAGAACGCUGAAGAGAGGAGCUUACUCUUCUUGGAUGAGUUGCGAACGGGUGAGUAACGCGUAGGUAACCUGCCUUGUAGCGGGGGAUAACUAUUGGAAACGAUAGCUAAUACCGCAUAACAAUGGAUGACACAUGUCAUUUAUUUGAAAGGGGCAAUUGCUCCACUACAAGAUGGACCUGCGUUGUAUUAGCUAGUAAGUGAGGUAAUGGCUCACCUAGGCGACGAUACAUAGCCGACCUGAGAGGGUGAUCGGCCACACUGGGACUGAGACACGGCCCAGACUCCUACGGGAGGCAGCAGUAGGGAAUCUUCGGCAAUGGGGGCAACCCUGACCGAGCAACGCCGCGUGAGUGAAGAAGGUUUUCGGAUCGUAAAGCUCUGUUGUAAGUCAAGAACGGGUGUGAGAGUGGAAAGUUCACACUGUGACGGUAGCUUACCAGAAAGGGACGGCUAACUACGUG
RNAcentral lists this ribosomal RNA (497 nucleotides) under uncultured bacterium. Its description in RNAcentral is "partial 16S ribosomal RNA". It matches the Rfam family "Bacterial small subunit ribosomal RNA", at positions 28 to 507 of the family's 1533-position model. The record is from RNAcentral.